Molecule: long non-coding RNA, 749 nt
Filed under: Zonotrichia albicollis (white-throated sparrow)
Lineage: Eukaryota; Metazoa; Chordata; Aves; Passeriformes; Passerellidae
Description: lncRNA (ENSZALG00000010747.1)
Source: RNAcentral
UUUGGAGGACUCUAACCUUGAUUUUCCAGCUUUGAGCUCCCUCUGGAAGCGCAGCAGCAAAACACUAUCAAGAAACUGCCUCCUGGCUAACAUUCUCAGCAAACCCUCAUGGCUAUUUACGGAAAUGAGCAGCCCAACAAAGCAAGAGAGAUCAUGAUUCACAGAUCGUUUACACAGACCCGGAGACCAACACGUCUUUGGACUGAAAAAGAGGAGCAAUCUGCAGCCUCCAGCCUCACCCAGUUGUGUUAUCAAUCGCACUUACAAAGACACUACAUGACUGAGGGUCUUUGGAGGAGGUCCAGAGGAGAGGAGCAAGAAAAAGGUCAGGGAAACAUGAUCCAUGCAGAAAUGCCAAAAGAAGCUGAUCAGCCUCUAGAGGUGAAGACUGUCAACAGAUAUGGUCACAAUGCUGCCCUGCUGAAAAUUCUGUUGCCAAAGAGCAGAGAGAUUUAUCCUCCCUAAACGGAAAAAUCUCUAGAAAAAUUACUUAUGGGAUUGAGCUACAGGAAGGUGCAAUCAGGCUGGAUGAUGCACUUUUAUGGGGGGAUGGCUAUGGAAAGACACUACAAUUAAAACAUGCUGAGAUGUUAAAGGCAGCCUACACAGAAAUAGCUUGGGAAUGCAUUUGAAGUGUUUACAAACCGUCUGAAUUUUUUCUCUAACUAGUCUUUACAUUUCCCUUCCCAGUAAUUCAUUUCAUUUCUUCCUGCUCUUAAGACUUCCAAAUAAAGGUUUAUUGUCUUCCA